AUGCUCUGGUUUCUCUUCAUUAUUCGAGCUAAUCUUUCGCCUUUUACUAAAGAUUACCGUGGAGAGGAACAUUACAAUGAGCCUAAACUGAAUUUUUGGAAUCCCACCACAUAGGUGGGUA
RNAcentral lists this small nuclear RNA (121 nucleotides) under Stegodyphus dumicola. RNAcentral's name for it is "U5 spliceosomal RNA". It matches the Rfam family "U5 spliceosomal RNA". Rfam says of the family: U5 RNA is a component of both types of known spliceosome. The precise function of this molecule is unknown, though it is known that the 5' loop is required for splice site selection and p220 binding, and that both the 3' stem-loop and the Sm site are important for Sm protein binding and cap methylation. Lineage: Eukaryota; Metazoa; Arthropoda; Arachnida; Araneae; Eresidae. The record is from RNAcentral.